GACGAACGCUGGCGGCGUGCCUAACACAUGCAAGUUGAGCGACGAACCAGGGCUUGCCCUGGGGCAAAGCAGCGAACGGGUGAGUAACACGUGGGUAACCUACCCCGAUAACCGGGACAACCCGAGGAAACUCGGGCUAAUACCGGAUGUGCUCACUGGACUUCGGUUCAGUGCGUAAAGGAAGCUUCGGCCUCCGUAUCGGGAGGGGCCCGCGGCCCAUUAGUUUGUUGGUGAGGUAACGGCUCACCAAGACCGCGAUGGGUAGCUGGUCUGAGAGGACGAUCAGCCACACUGGGACUGAGACACGGCCCAGACUCCUACGGGAGGCGGCAGUGGGGAAUCUUGCGCAAUGCGCGAAAGCGUGACGCAGCAACGCCGCGUGGGGAAGAAGGCCUUCGGGUUGUAAACCCCUUUCAGGAGGGACGAAGGUUCGGCGGUGAAUAGCCGUCCGGACUGACGGUACCUCCACAAGAAGCCCCGGCUAACUACGUG
This 492-nucleotide ribosomal RNA is filed under the name uncultured bacterium. RNAcentral describes it as "partial 16S ribosomal RNA". It matches the Rfam family "Bacterial small subunit ribosomal RNA", at positions 28 to 507 of the family's 1533-position model. The record is from RNAcentral.